AGCAGCCGCGGUAAUUCCAGCUCCAAUAGCGUAUAUUAAAGUUGUUGCAGUUAAAAAGCUCGUAGUUGAAUUUCGGGAUUGGCGCAUCGGUCGUGCCUUACGGGGUAUGAACUGGUGCAGUCAAUUUCUCACCUUCUGGAGAACCGCGAUGUCCUUAAUUGGGUGCCGCGGGGAACCAGGACCUUUACUUUGAAAAAUUAGAGUGUUUAAAGCAGGCAUUUUUGCUUGAAUACAUUAGCAUGGAAUAAUAAAAUAGGACGGCAUGGUUCUAUUUUGUUGGUUUCUAGGACCACCGUAAUGAUUAAUAGGGAUAGUUGGGGGCAUUAGUAUUCAAUUGUCAGAGGUGAAAUUCUUGGAUUUAUUGAAGACUAACUACUGCGAAAGCAUUUGCCAAGGAUGUUUUCAUUAAUCGAGAACGAAAGUUAGGGGAUCGAAGACGAUCAGAUACCG
RNAcentral lists this ribosomal RNA (450 nucleotides) under uncultured Glomeromycotina. Its description in RNAcentral is "SSU rRNA". It matches the Rfam family "Eukaryotic small subunit ribosomal RNA", at positions 569 to 1017 of the family's 1831-position model. Lineage: Eukaryota; Fungi; Glomeromycota. The record is from RNAcentral.